GACGAACGCUGGCGGCGUGCUUAACACAUGCAAGUCGAACGGAAAGGCCUUGCUUUUGUGGGGUGCUCGAGUGGCGAAAGGGUGAGUAACACGUGAGUAACCUGCCCUUUACUUUGGGAUAACUUCAGUAAACUGGGGCUAAUACCGGAUAUGAGCUCCUUCUGCAUGGUGGGGGUUGGAAAGUUUCGGCGGUUGGGGAUGGACUCGUGGCUUAUCAGCUUGUUGGUGGGGUAGUGGCUUACCAAGGCUUUGACGGGUAGCCGGCCUGAGAGGGUGACCGGCCACAAUGGGACUGAGAUACGGCCAAGACUCCUACGGGAGGCAGCAGUGGGGAAUAUUGCAAAAUGGGCGGGAGCCUGAUGCAGCAACGCCGGGUGCGAGAUGACGGCCUUCGGGGUGUAAACCGCUUGCGACUGUGAAGAAGAGUGAGUGACGGUAAUGGGUAAAGAAGCAACGGCUAACUACGUG
RNAcentral lists this ribosomal RNA (468 nucleotides) under uncultured bacterium. Its description in RNAcentral is "partial 16S ribosomal RNA". It matches the Rfam family "Bacterial small subunit ribosomal RNA", at positions 28 to 507 of the family's 1533-position model. The record is from RNAcentral.